RNAcentral lists this long non-coding RNA (1163 nucleotides) under Homo sapiens (human). RNAcentral's name for it is "HSALNT0398812". Lineage: Eukaryota; Metazoa; Chordata; Mammalia; Primates; Hominidae. The record is from RNAcentral.
CAGAGAAUCAAGCGGUUGCCUUCUGAGGGCUGAAGCGUAUAUCAGUACCAGAACCAGCUGGGGACUUUUCUCAGAUCUUCACUGUGAGAACCUGCUAGAGUCCUUGGAGAUAAAACUCACGAAAGUGUAAAGAUAGCUCUAUGGCAAGGUCUUCUUGGAGUUUUUAAUUCUCAGACUUAACCACAUUCAGCUUCCAGCAAUUCAUCAAUUAGAGUUCAGGUUUUCCUAACCUUGUUCUGGUUCCUGCAGAGGCACAAAGAUUACUGCUUGUGAGUUUCUGCUCUGGAAUGGAUGUUUUCUUUUAAAAAUGGUUUAUUGAAGUAUCAUGUACCUAUCUUAAGUGUACAGCACGAUGAUGUGUAUGCCCAUGUAACCAUCACCUAGAAGGAUGAGAACCACAAGCAUGAGAACAUGAGGAUAAAUACACUUUGGGGAAAAAGAAAACAGACAGAGGCAGCAGAGAAGGAAGACGAGAAGAAGAGAAAAAGAGAAGUAGGAAGAGGAUGAAUUCAUUUCGCUUAUCUGGCAAAUGUGUAAUCUGAGUAAUAGAGGGAACAACAGAUUGGACCCAACUAGGAUCUCCCUUGGAGUGGAUCAGACUGAUGAUUUCCACUAUCCAAAAGCUUCCUGAAUAAAAAAGAAGAAGGUGUCACCUACUUCAAUGUGACAUUGACCCCACCACUACAUCUUAAAGACCCUGUGUUAUUUCAGCAAUAAUGCCCCUGCCCAUCAAUCCAACUGGUGUUUUCAUUCCUCAUCUUAGUCUUAAGUGCAUUCAACUGAUGCUUUAUUCUAGAGGUACUCUGUUCCUUUCACCUUUAUGUGGCCAUCUUUACCCUGUUUUGUCAUAAUACUCUUUUAAAAAACCAACUUUUAAAAUGUUAAAUUGUGGUAAAAUACAAACAAACAAUUGACUGGCUUAACCAUUUGUAAGUGUCCGGUUCAGUAAAUAUGCACAUUAUCAUGCAACCAUCACCACCAUCCAUCUCCAGAAUGUUUUUCUCUUUGCAAAAUUGAAACUCUGUAAACAUUAAAAAGCAACUCUUUUUAUUCUCUUCCCAUCAGCUCCUCGCAACCACCACACUACUUUCCCUCUCUAUGAAUAUUUCUAUACCAGGUACCUCCUAUGACUGGAUCACACAGUAUUUAUCCUUUCAUGCCUG